AGCGAACGCUGGCGGCAGGCUUAACACAUGCAAGUCGAGCGGGCAUCCUUGUGGUGUCAGCGGCAGACGGGUGAGUAACGCGUGGGAACGUGCCCUUCGGUUCGGAAUAACUCAGGGAAACUUGAGCUAAUACCGGAUACGUGCGAGAGCAGAAAGGUUUAUCUGCCGAAGGAUCGGCCCGCGUCUGAUUAGCUAGUUGGUGAGGUUAUGGCUCACCAAGGCGACGAUCAGUAGCUGGUCUGAGAGGAUGAUCAGCCACACUGGGACUGAGACACGGCCCAGACUCCUACGGGAGGCAGCAGUGGGGAAUAUUGGACAAUGGGGGCAACCCUGAUCCAGCCAUGCCGCGUGAGUGAUGACGGCCUUAGGGUUGUAAAGCUCUUUUCUCCGGGACGAUAAUGACGGUACCGGAGGAAUAAGCCCCGGCAAACUUCGU
Molecule: ribosomal RNA, 436 nt
Filed under: uncultured bacterium
Lineage: Bacteria
Description: partial 16S ribosomal RNA
Rfam family: Bacterial small subunit ribosomal RNA
Source: RNAcentral